GAUGAACGCUGGCGGCGUGCCUAAUACAUGCAAGUCGAGCGAACGGACGAGAAGCUUGCUUCUCUGAUGUUAGCGGCGGACGGGUGAGUAACACGUGGAUAACCUACCUAUAAGACUGGGAAAACUUCGGGAAACCGGAGCUAAUACCGGAUAAUAUUUUGAACCGCAUGGUUCAAAAGUGAAAGACGGUCUUGCUGUCACUUAUAGAUGGAUCCGCGCUGCAUUAGCUAGUUGGUAAGGUAACGGCUUAGCAAGGCAACGAUGCAUAGCCGACCUGAGAGAGUGAUCGGCGACAUGGGAACGUGAACACGGUCAAUAGGACUAAGGGAGGCAGCAGUAGGCAAUCGUACGCAAUGGGCGAAAGCCUGACGGAGCAACGCCGCGUGAGUGAUAGAGGUCUUCGGAUCGUAAAACUCUGUUUUUAGGGAAGAACAUAUUUGUAAGUAACUGUGGACAUCUUGACGGUACCUAAUCAGAAAGCCACGGCUAACUACGUG
Molecule: ribosomal RNA, 497 nt
Filed under: uncultured bacterium
Lineage: Bacteria
Description: partial 16S ribosomal RNA
Rfam family: Bacterial small subunit ribosomal RNA
Source: RNAcentral